GAAGCGAAGAACCUUACCUGGUCUUGACAUCCACAGAACUUUCCAGAGAUGGAUUGGUGCCUUCGGGAACUGUGAGACAGGUGCUGCAUGGCUGUCGUCAGCUCGUGUUGUGAAAUGUUGGGUUAAGUCCCGCAACGAGCGCAACCCUUAUCCUUUGUUGCCAGCGGUUAGGCCGGGAACUCAAAGGAGACUGCCAGUGAUAAACUGGAGGAAGGUGGGGAUGACGUCAAGUCAUCAUGGCCCUUACGACCAGGGCUACACACGUGCUACAAUGGCAUAUACAAAGAGAAGCGACCUCGCGAGAGCAAGCGGACCUCAUAAAGUAUGUCGCAGUCCGGAUUGGAGUCUGCAACUCGACUCCAUGAAGUCGGAAUCGCUAGUAAUCGUAGAUCAGAAUGCUACGGUGAAUACGUUCCCGGGUCUUGUACACACCG
Molecule: ribosomal RNA, 434 nt
Filed under: uncultured bacterium
Lineage: Bacteria
Description: bacterial SSU rRNA
Rfam family: Bacterial small subunit ribosomal RNA
Source: RNAcentral